GAUGAACGCUGGCGGCGUGCCUAAUACAUGCAAGUCGAGCGAACGGACGAGAAGCUUGCUUCUCUGAUGUUAGCGGCGGACGGGUGAGUAACACGUGGAUAACCUACCUAUAAGACUGGGAUAACUUCGGGAAACCGGAGCUAAUACCGGAUGAUAUUUUGAACCGCAUGGUUCAAAAGUGGAAGACGGUCUUGCUGUCACUUAUAGAUGGAUCCGCGCUGCAUUAGCUAGUUGGUAAGGUAACGGCUUACCAAGGCAACGAUGCAUAGCCGACCUGAGAGGGUGAUCGGCCACACUGGAACUGAGACACGGUCCAGACUCCUACGGGAGGCAGCAGUAGGGAAUCUUCCGCAAAGGGCGAAAGCCUGACGGAGCAACGCCGCGUGAGUGAUGAAGGUCUUCGGAUCGUAAAACUCUGUUAUUAGGGAAGAACAUAUGUGUAAGUAACUGUGCACAUCUUGACGGUACCUAAUCAGAAAGCCACGGCUAACUACGUG
RNAcentral lists this ribosomal RNA (497 nucleotides) under uncultured bacterium. RNAcentral describes it as "partial 16S ribosomal RNA". It matches the Rfam family "Bacterial small subunit ribosomal RNA", at positions 28 to 507 of the family's 1533-position model. The record is from RNAcentral.